RNAcentral lists this ribosomal RNA (431 nucleotides) under uncultured bacterium. RNAcentral describes it as "bacterial SSU rRNA". It matches the Rfam family "Bacterial small subunit ribosomal RNA", at positions 29 to 507 of the family's 1533-position model. The record is from RNAcentral.
AACGAACGCUGGCGGCAGGCCUAACACAUGCAAGUCGAGCGCCCCGCAAGGGGAGCGGCGGACGGGUGAGUAACGCGUGGGAACGUACCCUUUGCUACGGAAUAGCCUCGGGAAACUGGGAGUAAUACCGUAUGUGCCCUUCGGGGAAAGAUUUAUCGGCAAAGGAUCGGCCCGCGUUGGAUUAGGUAGUUGGUGGGGUAAUGGCCUACCAAGCCUACGAUCAGUAGCUGGUCUGAGAGGAUGAUCAGCCACACUGGGACUGAGACACGGCCCAGACUCCUACGGGAGGCAGCAGUGAGGAAUAUUGGACAAUGGGCGAAAGCCUGAUCCAACCAUGCCGCGUGAGUGAUGAAGGCCUUCGGGUUGUAAAGCUCUUUCGACGGGGAAGGAUAAUGACCGUACCCGUAGAAGAAGCCACGGCUAAAUUCGUG